UACGUAGGGUGCGAGCGUUGUCCGGAAUUAUUGGGCGUAAAGAGCUCGUAGGCGGUUUGUCGCGUCGGCCGUGAAAACUUGGGGCUUAACUCCAAGCUUGCGGUCGAUACGGGCAGACUUGAGUUCGGCAGGGGAGACUGGAAUUCCUGGUGUAGCGGUGAAAUGCGCAGAUAUCAGGAAGAACACCCGUGGCUAAGGCGGUUCUCUAGUACGGUACUGACGCUGAGACGCGAAAGCGUGGGGAGCGAACAGG
Molecule: ribosomal RNA, 253 nt
Filed under: uncultured bacterium
Lineage: Bacteria
Description: partial 16S ribosomal RNA
Rfam family: Bacterial small subunit ribosomal RNA
Source: RNAcentral